GACGAACGCUGGCGGCGUGCUUAACACAUGCAAGUCGAGCGGAGCGGCGAACGGGUGAGUAACGCGUGAGUAACUGCCCCCCUCUCUGGGAUAACAGUUGGAAACGGCUGCUAAUACCGGAUAGUGGGGGAUGACUCGCGUCCUAUCAGCUUGUUGGCGGGGUAGUGGCCUACCAAGGCGACGACGGGGAGCCGGCCUGAGAGGGCGACCGGCCAAAUUGGGCAGAGAUAAGGCCCAAAGUCAUACGGGGGGCAGCAGUGGGGAAUAUUGCACAAUUGGGGAAACCCGGAUGCAGCAAACCGCGUGCGGGAUGACGGGCGGCGAGAUGUAAACCGCUUUCAGCCAUGACGCGGUAGUGGCAGAAGAAGCACCGGCUAACUACGUGCCAGCAGCCGCGGUAAUAC
This 404-nucleotide ribosomal RNA is filed under the name uncultured bacterium. RNAcentral's name for it is "partial 16S ribosomal RNA". It matches the Rfam family "Bacterial small subunit ribosomal RNA", at positions 28 to 526 of the family's 1533-position model. The record is from RNAcentral.